Molecule: unclassified non-coding RNA, 201 nt
Filed under: Hevea brasiliensis (rubber tree)
Lineage: Eukaryota; Viridiplantae; Streptophyta; Magnoliopsida; Malpighiales; Euphorbiaceae
Source: RNAcentral
AAUAAAAAAAAAAUUAAGGGAAUUUUAGUAGAAUAAUUAAAGCCCCUUGUCCAUAUCAUAAUAUUUAAUUGUAUUUUUUAAUGUUUACAAUAGUUCCUUCAAGUCCUCACAACUGUAUGUUUUUCUGUAAGACUAAUGACAUAUUUUCAAUCCUUAAAAAGUAUUAAAUAUUAGUGUGAGUAUUUUUCUUGUUUAUAAUUG